UCGAGCGGUACAGGAGAAGCUUGCUUCUCGCUGACGAGCGGCGGACGGGUGAGUAAUACUUAGGAAUCUACCUAGUAGUGGGGGAUAGCUCGGGGAAACUCGAAUUAAUACCGCAUACGACCUACGGGAGAAAGGGGGCAACUUGUUGCUCUCGCUAUUAGAUGAGCCUAAGUCGGAUUAGCUAGAUGGUGGGGUAAAGGCCUACCAUGGCGACGAUCUGUAGCUGGUCUGAGAGGAUGAUCAGCCACACCGGGACUGAGACACGGCCCGGACUCCUACGGGAGGCAGCAGUGGGGAAUAUUGGACAAUGGGGGCAACCCUGAUCCAGCCAUGCCGCGUGUGUGAAGAAGGCCUUUUGGUUGUAAAGCACUUUAAGCAGUGAAGAAGACUCCAUGGUUAAUACCCAUGGACGAUGACAUUAGCUGCAGAAUAAGCACCGGCUAACUCUGUGCCAGCAGCCGCGGUAAUACAGAGGGUGCAAGCGUUAAUCGGAAUUACUGGGCGUAAAGCGAGCGUACGUGGCUUGAUAAGUCAGAUGUGAAAGCCCCGGGCUUAACCCUGGGAACGGCAUCUGAUACUGUUAGGCUAGAGUAGGUGAGAGGAAGGUAGAAAUUCCAGGUGUAGCGGUGAAAUGCGUACAGAUCUGGAGGAAUACCCGAUGGCGAAGGCAGCCUUUCUG
This 679-nucleotide ribosomal RNA is filed under the name Psychrobacter faecalis. Its description in RNAcentral is "bacterial SSU rRNA". It matches the Rfam family "Bacterial small subunit ribosomal RNA", at positions 62 to 732 of the family's 1533-position model. The record is from RNAcentral. Lineage: Bacteria; Pseudomonadati; Pseudomonadota; Gammaproteobacteria; Moraxellales; Moraxellaceae.